RNAcentral lists this ribosomal RNA (407 nucleotides) under uncultured bacterium. RNAcentral's name for it is "bacterial SSU rRNA". It matches the Rfam family "Bacterial small subunit ribosomal RNA", at positions 355 to 776 of the family's 1533-position model. The record is from RNAcentral.
UGGGGGAUAUUGCGCAAUGGGGGAAACCCUGACGCAGCAACGCCGCGUGAAGGACGAAGGUCUUCGGAUCGUAAACUUUUGUCUUUGGGGAAGAAAAAAAUGACGGUACCCAAGGAGGAAGCCACGGCUAACUACGUGCCAGCAGCCGCGGUAAUACGUAGGUGGCAAGCGUUGUCCGGAAUUACUGGGUGUAAAGGGCGUGUAGGCGGGAUCUAAAGUCAGAUGUGAAAUACCGGGGCUCAACUCCGGGGCUGCAUUUGAAACUUGGAUUCUUGAGUGCAGGAGAGGAAAGCGGAAUUCCUAGUGUAGCGGUGAAAUGCGUAGAUAUUAGGAGGAACACCAGUGGCGAAGGCGGCUUUCUGGACUGUAACUGACGCUGAGGCGCGAAAGCGUGGGGAGCAAACAGG